GCAAGUCGAACGGCAGCACGGACUUCGGUCUGGUGGCGAGUGGCGAACGGGUGAGUAAUACAUCGGAACGUGCCUAGUAGUGGGGGAUAACUACCCGAGAGAGUGGCUAAUACCGCCUGCGAUCUAUGGAUGAAAGCAGGGGACCUUAGGGCCUUGUGCUACUAGAGCGGCCGAUGGCAGAUUAGGUAGAUGGUGGGAUAAAAGCUUACCAUGCCGACGAUCUGUAGCUGGUCUGAGAGGACGAUC
This 246-nucleotide ribosomal RNA is filed under the name uncultured bacterium. Its description in RNAcentral is "partial 16S ribosomal RNA". It matches the Rfam family "Bacterial small subunit ribosomal RNA", at positions 57 to 305 of the family's 1533-position model. The record is from RNAcentral.